CUAGCGUUGCUCGGAAUCACUGGGCGUAAAGCGCACGUAGGCGGAUUGCUAAGUCAGGGGUGAAAACCUGGAGCUCAACUCCAGAACUGCCUUUGAUACUGGUGAUCUUGAGUCCGGGAGAGGUGAGUGGAACUGCGAGUGUAGAGGUGAAAUUCGUAGAUAUUCGCAAGAACACCAGUGGCGAAGGCGGCUCACUGGCCCGAUACUGACGCUGAGGCACGAAAGCGUGGGGAGCAAACAGG
RNAcentral lists this ribosomal RNA (242 nucleotides) under uncultured bacterium. Its description in RNAcentral is "partial 16S ribosomal RNA". It matches the Rfam family "Bacterial small subunit ribosomal RNA", at positions 535 to 776 of the family's 1533-position model. The record is from RNAcentral.